This 218-nucleotide ribosomal RNA is filed under the name uncultured bacterium. RNAcentral's name for it is "partial 16S ribosomal RNA". It matches the Rfam family "Bacterial small subunit ribosomal RNA", at positions 524 to 741 of the family's 1533-position model. The record is from RNAcentral.
UACGUAGGGUGCAAGCGUUGUCCGGAAUUAUUGGGCGUAAAGAGCUCGUAGGCGGUUUGUUGCGUCGGCUGUGAAAUCCCGAGGCUCAACCUCGGGUCUGCAGUCGAUACGAGCAAACUAGAGUGUUGCAGGGGAGACUGGAAUUCCUGGUGUAGCGGUGAAAUGCGCAGAUAUCAGGAGGAACACCGGUGGCGAAGGCGGUUCUCUGGGCAUUACCU